GCGAGAUCUGCAGCGUCCUGAACAAGCCUUCAACCUCUAAUAACCAACAAGCAAUGCAGGAAGAAUUUGAUGCAGAACCACCUAGUUUUCAUCAGAACAGCGCAGGGAAAAAAACCUGCAUAUCACAAGUGCAUCAAAAAGCAAUUACAGGUCAGUAUCCGUAUCGUGUUUGAAAUAUCAAAGAAGUGAGUAGAGCCAAAGAAAACAACCAAUACGCUUGGCUCAUCAUGAUUGAAGCAGCACGAGACGAUGUUGUUGACCGCAAUAACGGUUAUUUGUGCACGCAUAAAUAAGCCAAAAUAGGUGCAAAACGUUACAAACCUGAAGUCCAAGCCACAAAAUGAAGAAGGUCAUGAUCUACAAGCACAGAUCCUAAUAUUGGUGCAUGUCUGCAUCAUAGUCCACAAGCACAAUACUCACAUUAGGAGUUCAAUGGUCUGUAGCAUUUGGGAGGAGAGCCUCGGAGCUUGCAGAUGCAUUUCUCUCAAACUAUGCAAUGACCAAAUGGGUGUAGCAGCAUACGUGAGUCGACCAUGUUACCAUA
Long non-coding RNA from Lathyrus oleraceus (garden pea), 544 nucleotides. RefSeq lists it as uncharacterized. The transcript is spliced from 2 exons. The record is from RefSeq and is a predicted model, not a curated record. Lineage: Eukaryota; Viridiplantae; Streptophyta; Magnoliopsida; Fabales; Fabaceae.